GUCGAGACUGUGUCUCUGAGUGUGUCGAAAAGCGAACUGUAUUCGAUGUGAAUUAACUAAAGGGUCUUUGCAAUUGACGUUCGGAUUUUCAUAUACCUAAAGUUGAACGAAUCGACGUGCAAAAAUAAUAUGUGCGGCUAAACUCAAUGCUAAAACUGCCAUGAAAUGAGCAAUCAUUUUCGCUUAUUUUGCAGGCGCUCACACAAUAAAAUCUCUCACAAACAACAACAACAAAAAUAGUCAUAAUAUUAUUCAUAUUUACGACAAAGCCGUGUCUAAG
Molecule: long non-coding RNA, 280 nt
Organism: Contarinia nasturtii (swede midge)
Lineage: Eukaryota; Metazoa; Arthropoda; Insecta; Diptera; Cecidomyiidae
Exons: 3
Source: RefSeq, a predicted model, not a curated record